This 583-nucleotide ribosomal RNA is filed under the name uncultured bacterium. RNAcentral describes it as "bacterial SSU rRNA". It matches the Rfam family "Bacterial small subunit ribosomal RNA", at positions 29 to 611 of the family's 1533-position model. The record is from RNAcentral.
AUGAACGCUGGCGGCGGCCUAACAAUGCAAGUCGAACGGUAACAUUUCUAGCUUGCUAGAAGAUGACGAGUGGCGGACGGGUGAGUAAUGCUUGGGAACUUGCCUUUGCGAGGGGGAUAACAGUUGGAAACGACUGCUAAUACCGCAUAAUGUCUUCGGACCAAACGGGGCUUAGGCUCCGGCGCAAAGAGAGGCCCAAGUGAGAUUAGCUAGUUGGUAAGGUAACGGCUUACCAAGGCGACGAUCUCUAGCUGUUCUGAGAGGAAGAUCAGCCACACUGGGACUGAGACACGGCCCAGACUCCUACGGGAGGCAGCAGUGGGGAAUAUUGCACAAUGGGGGAAACCCUGAUGCAGCCAUGCCGCGUGUGUGAAGAAGGCCUUCGGGUUGUAAAGCACUUUCAGUUGUGAGGAAAAGUUAGUAGUUAAUACCUGCUAGCCGUGACGUUAAUAACAGAAGAAGCACCGGCUAACUCCGUGCCAGCAGCCGCGGUAAUACGGAGGGUGCGAGCGUUAAUCGGAAUUACUGGGCGUAAAGCGCACGCAGGCGGUUUGUUAAGCUAGAUGUGAAAGCCCCGGGCUCA